GGGGAAAGAACUUGGCAGUAGAGAACCCUGGCAAACACUCCUCAGCUAGGUGAUCCAGGUGAAUGGACAUCAGGAAUAAGUCAUGUGGGCAGCAUGUGCCCUUGGUACAUUGUGAUGAGAAAGGAGAGGCACAACAACGAUUCUAUGCCAGGGGAAAGCCGCUGGGCCUGCUCCGCCCUCCAAUUAACCCAUUUUAUCUGAGAGGCUGGAAAGGAAGAAGGUACAAGGCCAGGGGCUCAGCUAUGAAAACAUGUUCUGAAUGGGAUAAAAACAGCAGUGGGAAGCCUCUGUCUUAUAUAAAUAAAUAGUAGAUGUUAAAGUAAAAUAAAAUAAAAUAAAAUAAAAUAAAAUAAAAUAAAAUAAAAUAUUUC
This 371-nucleotide long non-coding RNA is filed under the name Homo sapiens (human). Its description in RNAcentral is "HSALNT0010795". The record is from RNAcentral. Lineage: Eukaryota; Metazoa; Chordata; Mammalia; Primates; Hominidae.